RNAcentral lists this ribosomal RNA (253 nucleotides) under uncultured bacterium. Its description in RNAcentral is "partial 16S ribosomal RNA". It matches the Rfam family "Bacterial small subunit ribosomal RNA", at positions 524 to 776 of the family's 1533-position model. The record is from RNAcentral.
UACGGAGGGUGCAAGCGUUAUCCGGAUUUACUGGGUUUAAAGGGUGCGUAGGUGGGCAGGUAAGUCAGUGGUGAAAUCUCCGAGCUCAACUCGGAAACUGCCAUUGAUACUAUCUGUCUUGAAUUAUCUGGAGGUAAGCGGAAUAUGUCAUGUAGCGGUGAAAUGCGUAGAUAUGACAUAGAACACCAGUGGCGAAGGCAGCUUACUGCGGAUCGAUUGACACUGAGGCGCGAAAGCGUGGGGAUCAAACAGG